AUCAGAUCUUAUGGUAGUUAGUGAGAUCAGAUUCUACAAGAGUUGUUAGCUCGUGUAUAUAAGCUAGUAAUCAACUCAUUUUAUAAAAAAGUGAAGCAAUAUGAAACCAAUACAUUCUUCCUCUUCUCCUCUCAAGAUUCUUUAAAUCACACUCUUCUCUUCUUCUCUCCUUCAUCCCUCGUUUCAUUUCACUACUACUUUGUUUCUGCAUUUCUGGUUUCUUAAGUUCAUACAUUUGAAUAUAAAUCAGUUCAUGGUAUCAGAGCUAUCAAGCCAUAGAGCUUGAGAUUGAUUCAAUUCGGCACAAAAAAUUACGAAAAAGAAAAGUUCAUUCAAAUCAAAGAAACAAGAAUGAGUUCCAAUGCAGAUCAAGAAGCUCUUGCAAAUGUUGUUGCAUCUGGUGGAGGAAACAGUCAAGCUUUUCUGAGAAUCGAUUACAAUCAUCCUCUAUUUCUUCAUCCAUCAGAUAUUGGUGGUAUUCAUAUUAUCACAUUGCAACUUACAAGUAUCGAAAACUACUCUAUUUGGUUUCGGUCAAUGAGACGUUCUCUGUUAGGAAGGAAUAAACUAGAACUUGUUGAUGAUUCUUGUAAAAAGGAAGAUUUCCUGAAGCUAUGUGCAAUCAUUGGGAAAGGGUUAAUGCCAUAAUUCAUUCUUGGAUAAUGAGUUCAGUAGCAAAAGGACUUUUAGGAAGAAUUAUGUAUGUUACUAAUGCAUAAGAAGUUUGGGAAGAAUUACAUGAACGAUUUGACAAAAUUGAUAGUUCAAGAACAUUUAAUGUUAAAAAAAAACUGCUACUUUGUCCAAAGGAGUUGCUUCUGUGUCCAGUGAUAAGUAGGAUUUUUGACCGCUUAUUUUCGCUCUUUUCCUUGCGUUUUAGCUCCAAAAUGCUUUAAAGUAUUUUCGAAAACUAAUGAAAUGUGCUUGCUUGCAGAAAUGUUGCAAUAUGAGCCAAAGAAAUCAAAAUCAACUCAUAAAGGAGUUAAAAGUGGACAAGGACC
Molecule: long non-coding RNA, 1001 nt
Filed under: Nicotiana tabacum (common tobacco)
Lineage: Eukaryota; Viridiplantae; Streptophyta; Magnoliopsida; Solanales; Solanaceae
Description: long non-coding RNA (NTAB_LNC010656)
Source: RNAcentral